RNAcentral lists this ribosomal RNA (21 nucleotides) under Cautleya gracilis. RNAcentral describes it as "partial 26S ribosomal RNA". Lineage: Eukaryota; Viridiplantae; Streptophyta; Magnoliopsida; Zingiberales; Zingiberaceae. The record is from RNAcentral. RNAcentral also lists the same sequence under 2 other names.
UUGUGGCCCCAAGUCAGGCUA